This is a long non-coding RNA of Macadamia integrifolia, 1658 nucleotides long. RefSeq lists it as uncharacterized. The record is from RefSeq and is a predicted model, not a curated record. Lineage: Eukaryota; Viridiplantae; Streptophyta; Magnoliopsida; Proteales; Proteaceae. The transcript has 3 exons.
AUAUUUUCUUUCCCGAAGCCCUUCAAUGAAUCUCCUUCGAGAAAGGAGGUUUUCGAGGGAGGAGUUGCUCGCCAGAGCAGUUGGGAAAAGGGACUGGUGCAAGUCAAAAUUGAGAAGGUCGCAGACUAGCAUUAAGAGGUGUUUAACGAUUUCUAGGGCUGCUGAAAGGCAUAAUUGAGAAGAUUGAAGACUAGCAUUCAGAGGUAUUUAACGAUUUCUAUGGUUGCUGCAACUCAAAAUUGAGAAGGUUGCAGACCAACAUUCAGAGGUGUCUAACUAUUUUUUUGUUGCUACGUUGUCAUCAAUUUCUUCGUAGCCUUAUGUCGAGAGAGGUUCUUUCUGGAUUUCCAAGUUGAGACAAGUUUAUAAAUAUCAUGCAGUAAAGAAGAUGUUCCACAAUGGCUGGCCCCCAUCCGUAAACCAAGAAAUUAAAGUCUCACAGCGAGACCAAGCGUGGGAAAUGAUCUCUCUUCUCGUCAUAUGAAAUGAUCUCGUGACACUUCAUUGAUCAGUCUUCCCCUACCCUAACCUAUCUUGGGUGUUACCUGCGACUUCAUCCUCUGCAACUCGGAAACCAGGUAUGCCAUUAACUUCUUAUGUAUAAAUACGCAAGAAAAUCAUUGAAUGAAAAGAGAAGUUUUGAAGUAAAACUACAUUUUAACAAAGCCGCCUAGGGCUCUCCUCGAAUUGAUCCAACAAUCAAUAACGGGUUUAAUGGUAACUCACUACAUAUACAUACAUACAUACAUACAUACAUAUAUAUAUAUAUGUGUGUGUGUGUGUGUUUUUUCACGUACACUUGUGCAUUCACUUUUUUUUUUUGGCGUGAAAAUUGGUGGGUCCGUGGGACAAAUGCACAUGUGGAGGGACUGUUUCCAAGAAGCUAGCCAUCUCAUCUUCUCUAGAUGGCGCGACAACGUGGCACCUGAGAUUAACUUAAAGGGCACAAAGGACCACAUGUGCAACUCGGUCUAGGGAAGAUGGGACGGGUUAGAUCCCUCUUACAAGAGGCAUGGCUACCCCAACAAGGUAAGGGAGUGGUUUAACAAUCUUCACCCCUUCAUGCGGCGACAAAUUUGCAACCUGCCCUUCCAUCCGUGCCUACAUCUAAGUGCUUAGAAGCUAGAUGUAGAGCUUACAUGGGCCUUAGCCGAGAAAUGGUGGUCGAGCACCCAUACUAUCCAUCUGCCAAUGUGGGAGAUGACGAUCACCCCUCAUGCAUUGACCGAUUUGAGCUUUGGUGGGGGAGCCCAUGGUACCUUCCACUCCAUACAACUGGUCUCAGAUUUGGGACCUCAUCGGAAUCGACUCUAAAGAUGUCGUUGUCUACCUCACUGCGAUUUGUAAGGCUUGGGAUGGAGUCACAGUUGAUGUCUCUUCCACUCGCACUCACUGUAAGGGUGUCAGUCGGCUCAGUUUUGGUUAUUCGGUUCGAUUUUGAUUCAGUUCCAAAUGAUGGUAAGGUGGACCAUAACCGAACUGAGAACCAACUCGGUUCCAUAUUUAGAUACUCAAGCUGAUUCAAUUUGGCUCGAUUUGGUUUCGGUUCCAAUUCAGUUAUGAUAUGCAAGUUUAAUUCAAUUUUGUAUUUCGGUUAUAAUUCGGCUAUGAAAACGGUUCCACUUUUGAAUCAUGACUAUGAUGGACCAAAGGCUAUA